Long non-coding RNA from Oncorhynchus tshawytscha (Chinook salmon), 3630 nucleotides. The record is from Ensembl. NCBI's taxonomy places the organism in Eukaryota, Metazoa, Chordata, Actinopteri, Salmoniformes, Salmonidae.
AUUUUGGGAGAAUUGCAAUGAACCGUAAAGCAAAGUGGUGAUGAUGUGACGGGAGCCAAAUCACAAUCUGUUCAAUAUCAGUUCAUUGGUAGGAUUGAUAUGAACAAAGCCUGUAAUCUGACCUGGAUGCAUAGGGUUGCCAUUUUCAACCCACCAGCCUCCCAUGUUACCCUCCCAUGUUACCCUACCUCGCAGGCCUCAUCAAUUAUUCAGUAGGCCAGGGAAAGUGCUGGUCUCCAGUCCCCCACUGAGUCUGGGACAGCAGUAGCAAGAUCGUCCAGGACCGGGAUGAUGCUAAGGAAGGUAGGGCCAGGAGUAUGCAGGUGGCCAACCCUGCUGUUUUGGUGCCUGUAUGUCUUCGUGGAGGAGCACACUGUGUAUGGCCACAACAGAACUGUGGAAACCAGGGAGAUGGAGAGGCCAUUUUGUGAACAAGGAUACUAUUGUCCAGUGGGAAGUCCCACACCAGUGCCAUGUCCGAAGGGUACAUUUGGGCCGACGGUUGGUGCUAGUUCCAUGGACAGCUGUCUCAGCUGCCCAACCAACCACUACUGUCCGCGACCUGCUCUGACCUCAGGCAUACCCUGUGGAGCCUGGGCACAGCAGCCCCUACCUGGCCAGGACAGAUGUGUGUGUCUUGGAGAAGGGCAAACCUUCCAGGCCAGUGAUGGGCAGUGCCCCUGUGCCCUAGGGUACCGCCUCAUGGGCCAAGGGGACACUUGUUUGCACAGUGUCUAUGAUAUUUGUAGAGAUGGGAGAGCGAGGACACAACAUGGAACCUGUCUGGACAGGCAGCAGUGGGCACAGCACUGUACCCAACAGGUGUGUCUCUCUCCAGGGGACUACCAGGGCUUUGAUGGAUCUCUGGGCCUGUGUCUGUGCAGGGAACCCCCAGAGAGAGCUGUGUGUGGGGGCUGGUGUAGGAGCAGGCCAAAGCUGGCACUGCAUUUAGUGUGUGCUGCCGUAGACUUGCAGCUGGUAUAUAGCAACUCUGAAGGCCAGGUGAGCGUCUCCGGGAGUGUGUUGCUGGAGACCAUGUUCAAACGCUGGGACUCCCAGGGGACCUUGCAGUGUGACGGUCGCCACAAUGUCUCCCUUCCUGUGUACACAGUGCAAACAAAUGAUGCAGGGUUCCUUGGUCUCCUCAAUGACGUCCCAGCGGAGAUUCGGAAGUUAUUUCCAGAGAAAAGCCUGGGAAUGCACAUCUCUACAGGUGACUCUGGUGUCAGAGAGGAAGGAGGGGCUGGGUCUGAUUGGUCCAGCAGAGCAACCACCUGGGGAGGAACCAUGAACUCCAGCUCUGUGGGGAUUCUGAACCCUACUGCAUGUCUACACCUAUGGGACACACUGCUCUUCACUGUCACCAGACAACAUUACCCUCAGUAUGAUGUAGAGAACCUGUACAAUACCAACCGUGACUUUGACUGGGGUCCUCUGAGACGGCUGGCUGAGGACCUGACACUGGCCAGGACACCACCGACACUCUUCUCAUUGGUCUUCACUCAGCCUGGGGUGUACGCCUUCAAACACAGCGAUCAUCAAUACAAACACAUGUAUGUGAGGGUAAUGCCAGCAGGUGGACAGUGCUAUGAGGCUGGACCGUUCUUCCCCACUGUCCCCCAUCAUGUGACAAGAAUGGGCAUCGCCAAGAGACGACACCUGCUUCUACGCCCUGACUGGUUGGUGACAGGAGGACUGCUGCUUGGCGCAAUGGUCAUCCUCAGCCUGUGUGUGACGCUGCUGAUCUUGUUUCGGGAGUAUGGCUGGCCAGAGAAAGUGGCCACCAGAGCCCAGUACCGUACACUCCAGCUCCAGUACCCCAUGGAAGACUACGCCUCAAAGGGUUCCAGGGUGACGACAUUAAAGAAGUACCACAGAAACCUCCAGGCCAGGAUGACGGAGGCCUCUAUACAGCCCGCCCUGCACUUGGAGGCAGAUGAGUUCUGGGACUAUGAGCAUCAGGUGGACCUGGAGGCUUUCAGCACUAACACCUUCUACAGCAUCCUACUAAAACACAGUGUGUCUGUCACCGCUAGACUGAGCCAGCUCAGAGGAGAGGUGAAGGACCUGUAUCAGGGGGUGAUGGACAAGCUGAAGGGGCUCCAGCUGCAGCCGGGCUGGUCUGCAGUUGGGAAGACCAGGGAGGGCUAUGAGAGGCUGCGGAGGCAGGUGGAGCAGGAGGUGAUCCGACGUAGGUCCCUGGCCCAGCAGCUCAGGCAUCUCUUGGACAGUCAGCUCGGGGUCCUGAGGACAGAGCUGAUGGCCCAGCAGACGGUGCACAGGACCUUCGGGGCCCAUCUCAGGGAGUGUGUGAGGCUACUGGGCCAAGCAGUGGACAACACUGACCACCCUCUCUGGGAUGAACACCCACAACAGUAAUGUCUGAAUCUGUGUCCCUUGCCUCUUCCUGUCAUGCCUGUGUGUUCUGGAAAGAGCUUUGAACUACAGCUGUUUUUAAUUGGCCAGGGGUAUUAAUGAGAAUAUUACAGUUUUUCUCAAUCCCGUACAAGCAUGUCUUGGACCAAUGUUAUCAUUUUACAAAACAAAGUCCACAAAAACACAGAACUCGUGGCCUUUUGCAAAACUCAAAACAUAUAUACAUUCAUCAAAACUAUAUUAUACUGUCAAAAUUUCUAACUGAAGAAAUUCAUCAAAAGACCACGACUGCCUGUGAAAAGAUUAACGCAACCAUACUUCGAGUCAAAGCAGACAAAAGAGAAAGUUAGUCUGUCUUUUUAAAAAUUCCAGAAGAUCAACACAUUUUCUUUGUAGUCACUAAAUCAUGGUCAAAAUUGGAACAACAACUAUCCAAAGGUGCAUAAUUAUAGGUCAUUACUCUCCUUUUAUGCAUAUUUCACCAAACAAUUUUAUACACAUAAAAUAAAAAUAAAAAACAAGCACAUUUGAGGGCCUCCCGGGUGGCGCAGUGGUCUAAGGCAGUGCACGCUGACCAGGUCGCUAGGUGUAUGGUGUUUCCUCCGGCACAUUGGUGCGGCUGGCUUCCAGGUUGGAUGUGCACUGUGUUAAAAAGCAGUGGGGCAUGGUUGGGUUGUGUUUCAGAGGACGCAUGGCUUUCGACCUUCGUCUCUCCCGAGCCCGUACGGGAGUUGUAGCGAUGAGACAAGACAGUAACUACUAAUAAUUGAAUACCACGAAAUUGGGGAGGAAAAGGGGGUAAGAAAAUAAAUAGAGCUUUAAAAUGGAAGGUCACAAUGUUGGAGAUGAUGACUUAGAAGUAACCCAACUUCAUUCUAUACAUGUCUGCAAUAUUGUAAAAAAGAAAUCUAAAAAAAGUGUCCCUAUUGUCUAGAUAUUUCCCUAUAUUGUACAUGGUAUGACACUGAUAACAUGAUUUAGAAUUUAGUAGUAUAAUGCAGUAGUAUCACUUAUUGACAGAAAGAGUGAACACAUUUAUCUUCCGAUGAAAAUAUCUGUUCCUAUUCAGUCAACAAAACACUUGACAUUUGUAUUUAAAGUUCAGCAAAAGUUGGUCUAAGAUAUGUAAGUCAGGUCCAAAAGGCAAGAAAAUAAUGAGUUUCUGUAAAUGUAUUUUAAGAAUUUGAUCAUUGCUGUUCUUUUAUUGAUACGUUUCAAUACAGACGCAAAAAUUGCUUGUACAUGAUUAAAAAU